Molecule: ribosomal RNA, 372 nt
Filed under: uncultured organism
Description: partial 16S ribosomal RNA
Rfam family: Bacterial small subunit ribosomal RNA
Source: RNAcentral
GUAGGUGGCAAGCGUUGUCCGGAAUUAUUGGGCGUAAAGCGCGCGCAGGCGGUCCUUUAAGUCUGAUGUGAAAGCCCACGGCUCAACCGUGGAGGGUCAUUGGAAACUGGGGGACUUGAGUACAGAAGAGGAAAGCGGAAUUUCAAGUGUAGCGGUGAAAUGCGUAGAGAUUUGGAGGAACACCAGUGGCGAAGGCGGCUUUCUGGUCUGUAACUGACGCUGAGGCGCGAAAGCGUGGGGAGCAAACAGGGAUUAGAUACCCUGGUAGUCCACGCCGUAAACGAUGAGUGCUAAGUGUUAGGGGGUUUCCCGCCCCUUAGUGCUGCAGCUAACGCAUUAAGCACUCCGCCUGGGGAUACGGCCGCAAGGCUG